RNAcentral lists this long non-coding RNA (522 nucleotides) under Brassica napus (rape). RNAcentral describes it as "long non-coding RNA (BNAP_LNC022955)". Lineage: Eukaryota; Viridiplantae; Streptophyta; Magnoliopsida; Brassicales; Brassicaceae. The record is from RNAcentral.
UUAAUUUUGAACUGAGUUUUUUUUUGGGUUUCUUAAUUAUGAGUUUGUAUUUCUUUUACAUGGUUUCUUCGUUUUAUUUUGUUGUGUUCUGAGUAGUUUUUAAUUUGUAUUCAGCUUUGCCUUGCUAGAUAAACCAAAUAACUAUUAUCCGAGGAAAGAGGUUAUAUCAAGUGUUCCUCGGAAUUUCCUCGGUAUUUCUUUAAAAAAUAAAAUAAAUAAGUUCAAUGGUAGUCUGUUUCCGAGUCAUCAUCACCAGAUGAAUUUGAAUCUGGAUCUUCGUGAAACUCUCCAAUCACUGGUUCAUCCUCUACGUGAACGACGGCUUCCUCUCCAAAGUCGGUUAAAUCGACUACAAGGCCAACUCCAGCUAAAUCUUCUGCUGCACUUAAGUUGCCGGAUGUGCUUGGUUGUAGUGGGUCUUCCAGCUCAGAACUUCCCUGAACUCGGCCUCUCGGGUUGAGUCUUGUAACAGUAACCCAUGGAUCAUCUCUGUUCCUUACCCGGGGGUACUUGAUAUAACAA